AGAUGGCGACCGGCGCACGGGUGAGUAACACGUAUCCAACCUGCCGAUAACUCGGGGAUAGCCUUUCGAAAGAAAGAUUAAUAUCCGAUAGUAUAUUUUCUCCGCAUGGCGAGAAUAUUAAAGAAUUUCGGUUAUCGAUGGGGAUGCGUUCCAUUAGUUUGUUGGCGGGGUAACGGCCCACCAAGACUACGAUGGAUAGGGGUUCUGAGAGGAAGGUCCCCCACAUUGGAACUGAGACACGGUCCAA
This 247-nucleotide ribosomal RNA is filed under the name uncultured bacterium. Its description in RNAcentral is "partial 16S ribosomal RNA". It matches the Rfam family "Bacterial small subunit ribosomal RNA", at positions 86 to 334 of the family's 1533-position model. The record is from RNAcentral.